Long non-coding RNA from Vidua macroura (Pin-tailed whydah), 319 nucleotides. RefSeq lists it as uncharacterized. The transcript is spliced from 3 exons. The record is from RefSeq and is a predicted model, not a curated record. Lineage: Eukaryota; Metazoa; Chordata; Aves; Passeriformes; Viduidae.
AUUACUGAGAAAGUAAUAAGGAAGUGCUGACCAGUAGUGACAGAUUUGGGAAUAACUAGGAUGUUUACAGAUUUUAAAGUGACUAGUGUAGACCUUCCCUUUGCCCUACCUUGUGUGGACAACUGAGAUGCCCGAUAAGUAACACUGCUGCUGACAGGGGAGAGAGAUACAAAGACAUCUCAAGUGGGCAUUUAGGAUCCCAAACCCAGUAUACUCCUAACUGAGGAACCUCAGAUGAACUGCUGGAAGAAUCAGAGCUUGAUGAAGAAGAGGAAGAUGAAGACAACUUGACCAAAGACAACAAAAAGUGAAGCUUGUG